Molecule: ribosomal RNA, 328 nt
Filed under: uncultured bacterium
Lineage: Bacteria
Description: bacterial SSU rRNA
Rfam family: Bacterial small subunit ribosomal RNA
Source: RNAcentral
CGUGUAGGCGGUGCGAUAAGUCGGGCGUGAAAUCCCCGGGCUUAACCCGGGGCGGUCGCUCGAAACUGUCGUGCUAGAGUGCAGGAGAGGGAAGUGGAAUUCCCGGUGUAGCGGUGAAAUGCGUAGAUAUCGGGAGGAACAUCUGUGGCGAAGGCGGCUUCCUGGACUGCAACUGACGCUGAGGCGCGAAAGCUAGGGGAGCAAACAGGAUUAGAUACCCUGGUAGUCCUAGCCCUAAACGUUGAGCACUGGAUGUAGCCCUUCACCGGGCUGUGUCGAAGCUAACGCAUUAAGUGCUCCGCCUGGGGAGUACGGUCGCAAGGCUGAA